UGCGCGGCUACACAUGCAAGUCGAACGGAAAGGCCCUGCUUUUGUGGGGUGCUCGAGUGGCGAACGGGUGAGUAACACGUGAGUAACCUGCCCUUGACUUUGGGAUAACUUCAGGAAACUGGGGCUAAUACCGGAUAGGAGCUCCUGCUGCAUGGUGGGGGUUGGAAAGUUUCGGCGGUUGGGGAUGGACUCGCGGCUUAUCAGCUUGUUGGUGGGGUAGUGGCUUACCAAGGCUUUGACGGGUAGCCGGCCUGAGAGGGUGACCGGCCACAUCGGGACUGAGAUACGGCCCAGACUCCUACGGGAGGCAGCAGUGGGGAAUAUUGCACAAUGGGCGGAAGCCUGAUGCAGCAACGCCGCGUGCGGGAUGACGGCCUUCGGGUUGUAAACCGCUUUCGCCUGUGACGAAGCGUGAGUGACGGUAAUGGGUAAAGAAGCACCGGCUAACUACGUGCCAGCAGCCGCGGUGAUACGUAGGGUGCGAGCGUUGUCCGGAUUUAUUGGGCGUAAAGGGCUCGUAGGUGGUUGAUCGCGUCGGAAGUGUAAUCUUGGGGCUUAACCCUGAGCGUGCUUUCGAUACGGGUUGACUUGAGGAAGGUAGGGGAGAAUGGAAUUCCUGGUGGAGCGGUGGAAUGCGCAGAAAUCAGGAGGAACACCAGUGGCGAAGGCGGUUCUCUGGGCCUUUCCUGACGCUGAGGAGCGAAAGCGUGGGGAGCGAACAGGCUUAGAUACCCUGGUAGUCCACGCUGUAAGCGGUGGGUACUAGGUGUGGGGUCCAUUCCACGGGUUCCGUGCCGUAGCUAACGCUUUAAGUACCCCGCCUGGGGAGUACGGCCGCAAGGCUAAAACUCAAAGGAAUUGACGGGGCCCC
Molecule: ribosomal RNA, 871 nt
Filed under: uncultured bacterium
Lineage: Bacteria
Description: bacterial SSU rRNA
Rfam family: Bacterial small subunit ribosomal RNA
Source: RNAcentral